ACGGUUUCAGUAACACGUGGAUAACCUGCCCUAUGGUGGAGAAUAACCCCGGGAAACUGGGGAUAAUACUCCAUAGAUUAGAGAUACUGGAAUGUUCUUUAAUCGAAAGUUGAGGCGCCAUAGGAUGGAUCUGCGGUCGAUUAGGUUGUUGUUGGGGUAACGGCCCAACAAGCCUGUAAUCGAUACGGGUUGUGGGAGCAAGAGCCCGGAGAUGGAAUCUGAGACACGAUUCCAGGCCCUACGGGGCGCAGCAGGCGCGAAAAUUUUACAAUGCAGGAAACUGUGAUAAGGGAACCCCGAGUGCCCGUAUACGCGGGCUGUCCAGGUGUCUAAAAAGCAUCUGAAGAAAGGGCCGGGCAAGACCGGUGCCAGCCGCCGCGGUAAUACCGGCGGCUCGAGUGGUGGCCACUAUUAUUGGGCUUAAAGCGUCCGUAGCUGGACUCUUAAGUCUCUUGGGAAAUCCGCCGGCUUAACCGACGGGCGUCUAAGAGAUACUGAGAGUCUAGGGACCGGGAGAGGUGAGAGGUACUCCGGGGGUAGGAGUGAAAUCCUGUAAUCCCUGGGGGACCACCGAUGGCGAAGGCAUCUCACCAGAACGGCUCCGACAGUGAGGGACGAAAGCUGGGGGAGCGAACCGGAUUAGAUACCCGGGUAGUCCCAGCCGUAAACUAUGCGCGUUAGGUGUACUGGUGACCACGAGUCACUGGGGUGCCGAAGGGAAACCGUGAAACGUGCCGCCUGGGAAGUACGGUCGCAAGGCUGAAACUUAAAGGAAUUGGCGGGGGAGCAC
RNAcentral lists this ribosomal RNA (790 nucleotides) under uncultured archaeon. Its description in RNAcentral is "bacterial SSU rRNA". It matches the Rfam family "Archaeal small subunit ribosomal RNA", at positions 83 to 879 of the family's 1478-position model. The record is from RNAcentral.